RNAcentral lists this ribosomal RNA (429 nucleotides) under uncultured archaeon. Its description in RNAcentral is "bacterial SSU rRNA". It matches the Rfam family "Archaeal small subunit ribosomal RNA", at positions 474 to 903 of the family's 1478-position model. The record is from RNAcentral.
UACCUGCAGCUCGAGUGGUAACCGCUAUUAUUGGGCCUAAAGCGUCCGUAGCCGGUUUGGUAAAUAUCUGGGUAAAUCGUGAGGCUUAACUUCACGAAUUUCGGAUAGACUGCCAGACUUGGGAUCGGGGGAGGUCAGAGGUACUCCGGGGGUAGCGGUGAAAUGUUGUAAUCCUUGGAGGACCACCGGUAGCGAAGGCGUCUGACUAGAACGAGUCCGACGGUGAGGGACGAAGCCCUGGGGCGCAAACCGGAUUAGAUACCCGGGUAGUCCAGGGUGUAAACAAUGUGGGCUUUGUAUUGGAGAUCCCACGUGGGUAUCCAGUGCAGAAGAGAAGUUGUUAAGCCCACCGCCUGGGAAGUACGGUCGCAAGGCUGAAACUUAAAGGAAUUGGCGGGGGAGCACAGCAACGGGAGGAGCGUGCGGUUU